CGCCUGUUUAACAAAAACAUGUCUUUUUGAAUUAUUUAAAAAGUCUAACCUGCCCACUGAAUUAUUUUAAAUGGCCGCAGUAUCCUAACUGUGCAAAGGUAGCAUAAUCAUUAGUCUUUUAAUUGAAGGCUGGUAUGAAUGAUUGGACGAGAUAUUAACUGUUUCAUAAAAAUUUAUAAUAGAAUUUUAUUUUUUAGUCAAAAAGCUAAAAUAAAUUUAAAAGACGAGAAGACCCUAUAAAUCUUUAUAUUUAGAUAAUUACAAUUUUGUGGAUUUUUUUUGUUGUGAUUGUUGAUAAUAUUUUAUUGGGGUGAUAUUAAAAUUUAAAAAACUUUUAAUUAAUUAAUUCAUUAAUUUAUGAAUAAUUGAUCCGUUAUUAACGAUUAAAAAUUUAAGUUACUUUAGGGAUAACAGCGUAAUUUUUUUGGAGAGUUCAUAUCGAUAAAAAAGAUUGGGACCUCGAUGUUGGAUUAAGAGAUAUAUUUUGGUGUAGUCGCUAAAAUGUUAAGUCUGUUCGACUUUUAAAUUCUUACGUGAUCUGAGUUCAGACCGG
Molecule: ribosomal RNA, 553 nt
Filed under: Musca domestica vicina
Lineage: Eukaryota; Metazoa; Arthropoda; Insecta; Diptera; Muscidae
Description: partial 16S ribosomal RNA
Rfam family: Bacterial large subunit ribosomal RNA
Source: RNAcentral